Molecule: ribosomal RNA, 253 nt
Filed under: uncultured bacterium
Lineage: Bacteria
Description: partial 16S ribosomal RNA
Rfam family: Bacterial small subunit ribosomal RNA
Source: RNAcentral
UACGUAGGUCCCGAACGUUGCGCGAAUUUACUGGGCGUAAAGGGUCCGUAGGCGGUUUAGCAAGUGGUUGGUGAAAUUUCACGGCUCAACCGUGAAACUGCCUUCCAAACUGCUAAACUUGAGGCAGGGAGAGGUCGGCGGAAUUCCCGGUGUAGCGGUGAAAUGCGUAGAUAUCGGGAGGAAGACCAGUGGCGAAGGCGGCCAACUGGAACUGUCCUGACGCUGAGGGACGAAGGCUAGGGGAGCAGACCCG